Molecule: unclassified non-coding RNA, 222 nt
Filed under: Hevea brasiliensis (rubber tree)
Lineage: Eukaryota; Viridiplantae; Streptophyta; Magnoliopsida; Malpighiales; Euphorbiaceae
Source: RNAcentral
AAUUUUUCUCUUGCUAGUUUGGUUCCCUUUUUACCAUCCAUAAUUAGUUGAACGUGAAUGACAUUGUAGCAUUUGUAUAUUUGGUACUUUUAGCAUGAUUUUGGAUAUUUUAUAUGUUAAAUUUAUCUGUGGUUGAGUUCAUCAUGAAAUUUUCUAUGCAUAGAAAUGGUUAGAUUUAAUAAAGUAUUAAUAUUUUGCGAACAGGAGCAUCUUAUUUGUGGG